RNAcentral lists this non-coding RNA (25 nucleotides) under Cricetulus griseus (Chinese hamster). Lineage: Eukaryota; Metazoa; Chordata; Mammalia; Rodentia; Cricetidae. The record is from RNAcentral.
AAUGUAAUUGAUAAUAAAAGGCAAG